This 403-nucleotide long non-coding RNA is filed under the name Homo sapiens (human). RNAcentral's name for it is "non-protein coding lnc-TP53TG3-3:1". Lineage: Eukaryota; Metazoa; Chordata; Mammalia; Primates; Hominidae. The record is from RNAcentral.
GAUGGUAUCUCAUUGUGGUUUUGAUUUGCAUUUCUCUGAUGGGUCUAUUUAUUUAAAACAAAGGGAGGGAAGUCUCAUUUACAUUCGUUUUUUUCAUAGCCUUUUGAACUUUGCAAUUUCUAUGUUUCAGAACCUAUUUCUUACAGUUUUUCUAUGCUAAACUCUGUCCUGGUCAGUUCUAGAGUGUAUGAAGAACCAAAUGAUGUAACUGUAUGCGACCUGGCUGUAGUGGAACAAAUUUGACUCUUAAGUAUGCAGGCUCUAAUUUUCCUGUCUGGUUUUGUCUAGGGAGAUGACUCAUCAGAAAAAGAAGAAAAAAGAGGUAUUUGGAAAUUGUGCAAAUUAAAGCAGCCCCUGAUGCCAAAGUCUACACAUUCCUGAGUGAGUCAGUUCUGGCCAGUUC